AGUGAAAUAGAACCUGAAACCGUGUGCUUACAAGUAGUCAGAGCCCGUUAAUGGGUGAUGGCGUGCCUUUUGUAGAAUGAACCGGCGAGUUACGAUUUGAUGCAAGGUUAAGCAGUAAAUGUGGAGCCGUAGCGAAAGCGAGUCUGAAUAGGGCGUUUAGUAUUUGGUCGUAGACCCGAAACCAGGUGAUCUACCCUUGGUCAGGUUGAAGUUCAGGUAACACUGAAUGGAGGACCGAACCGACUUACGUUGAAAAGUGAGCGGAUGAACUGAGGGUAGCGGAGAAAUUCCAAUCGAACCUGGAGAUAGCUGGUUCUCUCCGAAAUAGCUUUAGGGCUAGCCUCAAGUGAUGAUUAUUGGAGGUAGAGCACUGUUUGGACGAGGGGCCCCUCUCGGGUUACCGAAUUCAGACAAACUCCGAAUGCCAAUUAAUUUAACUUGGGAGUCAGAACAUGGGUGAUAAGGUCCGUGUUCGAAAGGGAAACAGCCCAGACCACCAGCUAAGGUCCCAAAAUAUAUGUUAAGUGGAAAAGGAUGUGGCGUUGCCCAGACAACUAGGAUGUUGGCUUAGAAGCAGCCAUCAUUUAAAGAGUGCGUAAUAGCUCACUAGUCGAGUGACACUGCGCCGAAAAUGUACCGGGGCUAAACAUAUUACCGAAGCUGUGGAUUGUCCUUUGGACAAUGGUAGGAGAGCGUUCUAAGG
RNAcentral lists this ribosomal RNA (703 nucleotides) under Staphylococcus aureus. Its description in RNAcentral is "partial 23S ribosomal RNA". It matches the Rfam family "Bacterial large subunit ribosomal RNA", at positions 537 to 1246 of the family's 2925-position model. Lineage: Bacteria; Bacillati; Bacillota; Bacilli; Caryophanales; Staphylococcaceae. The record is from RNAcentral.